Austrofundulus limnaeus is the source of this 1600-nucleotide long non-coding RNA. RefSeq lists it as uncharacterized. The record is from RefSeq and is a predicted model, not a curated record. Lineage: Eukaryota; Metazoa; Chordata; Actinopteri; Cyprinodontiformes; Rivulidae. The transcript is spliced from 3 exons.
CGGACCAGUCCGGCGGAUGUCUGCUUCGAGUUCGCACUGAGUCCACCUCGAGUCCACGCAGACUUCCUCAGACCGAAGUACGCCCGAGUAUGUGGGGGCCUUUAAGGCCUACAGUUAGAUAUCACAAAGAAUGACAGCCUUUUGUUGGCCCAGAUGUGUUUUGCCAAAAGUGCUCCAUGCGUGUGCCAGCACUACAUCAAGCACAUCUGGGCCAGUUAUGGCUCUUAUAAACAGUAUAUCAUUGCCGUACCUCAUGGCUCACAUACAGUUGACAAAUAACCCCUUGAUAUGCCAGCACUGCUAGACUGCUAGAACUUUGUACUGGUACUGUCCCUGGACGACAUGAGCAAGUAGAGCCGUAACAUGUUCUGAGCAUUGUGUGCUUGUAUGGCAGUGCUGAUUGGAGAGGACCAACCUUGCAAAUGUUUUGAAGAGACACACCACAUUUUACCUUCCUGACACAGGACAGGCUUUCAACAAAGCAGUGCCUCUCCACAUUUGACACGUGUCUGUGGUAGGGAUGGUCCUUGAGAAACCCUGCAUGUUUUACUUGUUUCUCUGCUCCAAUACACCUAAUUUGAGUGAUGUGUGAUAAAACAGGCUUGUUGGAGCAGAGAAAAGUGACCGUGCAGUGGCCCUCCAAGACCAGGAUUGCCCUCCCCAAUCUAUGGAGUCAGGUUUUUCCAUUCACCUGCCCUGAUCUUUCUCCCAAUUAAAUGUGUCUGAAUGGGAAGUGGGAAUUUCCCGCUUACAAGUUGUAAAUUUCAACUGGAAUGACCCUCCAGUGGGAAUUCACUGUUGGAAUGUGGGCGAGUUCAGAAUUCAGGACAGCAGUUACUCAUUACAGCUCAUCAAAACUCUCUUACUUUUACAAUAGAGGGAUUAUCAGGCCAUCCGGGUCUACUGCGCAUGUCCGCUGCAGAAAGAACCUGUCAUCAUGUCUUGUUGCGUUGUCGGCUGCACAAACCGCUUUGAUAAAAACAAUAAAAUGUGCAAUUUUUUACAGAAUUCCAUCAACUCGCAGCCCUUUUAAGGCUAACAGGAGACGUCUCUGGUUGCAAGCCAUCAGAAGAACCGAUUGGUUCGAGCAGAUGACUAAAAAUGCUGCAGCGACCACUUCAUAUCAGGAGUGGCAUCUGACGAAAUUGACAGUCAUAACUUUGUCCCAUCAAUCUUCUCCUACUCAACCCAGUCCAGCAAAGACAAUGAUGGAAAAUUGAAUCGAAGCUACAGCCCCAAAGGCCGUUCACGAUGACCUCAAACAGAAAUACGUCCAACUUCAUACAGAGUGUGACAACCUGCRUGUGGACAUCAACAAGAUAAAAGCUGAGAAUGAAAAAUCAGAGAUGAUGCUCAGGAGUACACAGUUCUCCUGUCCUUCUCUGAACUGUAAAGCAGCACAGGUGGUCUUCUUCACAGGUCUGACCAGUGUCCCCUUUGAUUGGGUCCUGCAGACAGUUAAAUAAAGUGUAGAGGUUGUGCGUAGCUCUCUGACACUGGAGGACCACCAAUAAACUGUAAAUACCUUGAUGAAAGUCAAAACCUUUUUAUUUGUUGUUUAUACAGAAGUGAUGACAUUAAAAAGCAACAAUUAACAAAA